RNAcentral lists this ribosomal RNA (352 nucleotides) under uncultured bacterium. Its description in RNAcentral is "bacterial SSU rRNA". It matches the Rfam family "Bacterial small subunit ribosomal RNA", at positions 917 to 1271 of the family's 1533-position model. The record is from RNAcentral.
GGGCCCGCACAAGCGGUGGAGCAUGUGGUUUAAUUCGAUGAUACGCGAGGAACCUUACCAGGGCUUAAAUGCAGUUCGACAGAUUUAGAAAUAAAUCCUUCUUCGGACGAAUUGCAAGGUGCUGCAUGGUUGUCGUCAGCUCGUGCCGUGAGGUGUCAGGUUAAGUCCUAUAACGAGCGCAACCCCUAUUCUUAGUUGCCAGCGGGUAAUGCCGGGAACUCUAAGGAAACUGCCAGCGCAAGCUGUGAGGAAGGUGGGGAUGACGUCAAAUCAUCACGGCCCUUACGUCCUGGGCUACACACGUGCUACAAUGGAUGGUACAGAGAGCAGCCACUUCGCAAGAAGGAGCGAA